ACACACCGACACCGACACCCACACAGGCUAACCGCAAGCUCAUUCAGCAAAAGGCAGACACCAACAGAACAACAGACAAAAGCAUCGCAGUGGGCAUUGUAAAUCAUAAUCAAAACAAUAGAACAAAUGAAGCUAAUGUGCUGCACGCAAACAACAACUCGAACAACAACAAUUGCCCCAGAGUGCAGGGUAUAGAGGUGGUGAGGGGUACGCUGUGUCGCUGUGUCAGGCUGUAACUGCAUAUGGUCAGGGCCAACUUUAAAAGGGCCAACAAAUUAACAAGCGAGUACCUAAUACAAAUGUAAAAUAAUGGAAAAUACUGCGGAAUUUAAAGAAGUUUAAAAAAAAUUAAAAUAAAUCAAAUGAAAUUUUCUUUUUCUUUGGCAUAAAAUACUUGUUUGGACGCUUAAAUAAAUAAUACGCAUAUA
Non-coding RNA from Drosophila virilis, 428 nucleotides. The record is from RefSeq and is a predicted model, not a curated record. Lineage: Eukaryota; Metazoa; Arthropoda; Insecta; Diptera; Drosophilidae.